Molecule: ribosomal RNA, 388 nt
Filed under: uncultured soil bacterium
Lineage: Bacteria
Description: bacterial SSU rRNA
Rfam family: Bacterial small subunit ribosomal RNA
Source: RNAcentral
AGAUUGAACGCUGGCGGCAGGCCUAACACAUGCAAGUCGAGCGGUAGAGAGGUGCUUGCACCUCUUGAGAGCGGCGGACGGGUGAGUAAUGCCUAGGAAUCUGCCUAGUGGUGGGGGAUAACGUUCGGAAACGGACGCUAAUACCGCAUACGUCCUACGGGAGAAAGCGGGGGACCUUCGGGCCUCGCGCCAUUAGAUGAGCCUAGGUCGGAUUAGCUAGUUGGUGAGGUAUGGCUCACCAAGGCGACGAUCCGUAACUGGUCUGAGAGGAUGAUCAGUCACACUGGAACUGAGACACGGUCCAGACUCCGUAGGGAGCAGCAGGUAGGGAAUAUAGGACAAGUGGGACGAAGCCUAGACGUCCAACGCCAUCGCCGCGUUGGUGGUA